UAAAGGCUGAGUUGAGUUGAGUUGGAGUGUUCUAGCAAAUUACUUUCUUUUUUUGGAGCCUUUUUUUUUCCCCAGUGUAUGGAUACAUAUGUAGAGCAUGAUUACAUCAGUAGGCAGCAAUGAUGAAUCUGUCACCUAGAAAAACUAAUCAGCAAAAAAAUUGUAUAUAUAUCAAGUGUUUCCACUAGAAUUUUAGAGGAAUUUAAGCUAGAUUAAAGCUGAGGCAGGUUCAACCAUGGGCUUGAGAUUGGUUUUCUCAAGGAGCUCAAAUCUAGUUCAGCUUCUCAUUAUUAAUGUAGUUUUUUAAGUUCUUCUUUGAAAUUUAAAGAAAUUUCUAAUUUCUCUUGUUAAUUGUGAUGCUGUUACUGUAGCUUUUCACUGCAUUCUGGAAUUUUCCCUUGGUCCAGGUGAACUAAAGACUACUUUGAG
Molecule: unclassified non-coding RNA, 429 nt
Filed under: Hevea brasiliensis (rubber tree)
Lineage: Eukaryota; Viridiplantae; Streptophyta; Magnoliopsida; Malpighiales; Euphorbiaceae
Source: RNAcentral